CCACUGCAUGAGGACCUCACAAUGUCGUGAGCAUGUCGGUUUAGACAAGUGAGAUUUCAUUUUAAGGUCACACAGCCUGUACCGGCCACGGUUGUCAUCACUCUGGUCCCCGCUGUACUCAGAUGUUUGUGUUGUUUCUGGCCGACCAGAGUUGUCGUUAAUUAUUCUGCAUGCAGUGCAGAAGAAGCAGCAUCUAUUUGCGAGAUUUACGAAGCGGUAGAUCAGUCUUAAUGGAUGUGUCAUUUUGUCCUAAUCUCUCUUGCAGUCGGGUGAACGGAAAAGAUGACAGGGUUAACUAAUGAGGACUGUAAAGUGCAAAUGGGGUUGCCCCAACGGACCAAACAGACUAGUGGCGAUUCUGACGGUGACAUUUCAUUAACAGGUACCUGGCGCCAAAGGAAAGGUAGUCUAUUUUUAAUGUACCAUUAAUAAAGAAAUUGUGUUUGAUAAUUCCUGUGCGUUUGGUCUUGGUUACUCGUUAUUCACACCAAUUUUUCUUCAGUUUUGUUUGCCAUGGUACUUCAAGAAUGAAGUGUACAAUGUUGAAACUAAUAUAAUUUAAUUAUUAUAAAUCUCUAUGUGAUUGCUGAAUGAUUUAUCAAUAUACAAUAUUGCGUAGCUAUUUUUUAAUAGGAAAUGUAAUAAUGAUGAAAAGAAAGGGGAGGGGGUUAUAAUAACUAAAAAUGUGUGAAAUGUGGAGUUGGAAUGGUUCAUAUUUAAAAAGUUUUUUUUCCAGAUUCUCAAGUUAUAUAGCGGACACGAAAGGAUGA
This is a long non-coding RNA of Saccostrea cuccullata (small rock oyster), 770 nucleotides long. RefSeq lists it as uncharacterized. The transcript has 4 exons. The record is from RefSeq and is a predicted model, not a curated record. Lineage: Eukaryota; Metazoa; Mollusca; Bivalvia; Ostreida; Ostreidae.